Molecule: ribosomal RNA, 285 nt
Filed under: Symbiodinium sp. Mp
Lineage: Eukaryota; Dinophyceae; Suessiales; Symbiodiniaceae
Description: partial Bacterial small subunit ribosomal RNA
Rfam family: Bacterial small subunit ribosomal RNA
Source: RNAcentral
GUCGUCAGCUCGUGCCGUGAGGUGUUGGGUUAAGUCCCGCAACGAGCGCAACCCCUAUUCCUAGUUGCCAGCACGUAAUGGUGGGGACUCAUGGGAGACUGCCGGGGUCAACUCGGAGGAAGGUGGGGAUGACGUCAAAUCAUCAUGCCCCUUAUGUCUUGGGCUUCACGCAUGCUACAAUGGCCGGUACAAUGGGUUGCGAUACUGUGAGGUGGAGCUAAUCCCAAAAAGCCGGUCUCAGUUCGGAUUGGGGUCUGCAACUCGACCCCAUGAAGUCGGAGUCGC